CAAUAGCGUAUAUUAAAGUUGUUGCAGUUAAAAAGCUCGUAGUUGGAUUUCUGGGAGGGUGCCGCCGUCCGGCGUGUCCGUGUGCAGUGGCGCCCUUCCAUCCUUCUGUUAGCGUCUCUUUGCAUUCAUUUGCUGGUGGCGGGCUCAGAUAUUUUACCUUGAGAAAAUUAGAGUGUUUCAGGCAGGCUAGGCCGGAAUACAUUAGCAUGGAAUAAUGGAAUAGGACUACGGUCUCUUUGUUGGUUUGAGGGACUGCAGUAAUGAUUAAUAGGGAUAGUUGGGGGCAUUAGUAUUUAAUUGUCAGAGGUGGAAUUCUCAGAUUUGUUAAAGACUAACUUAUGCGAAAGCAUUUGCCAAGGAUGUUUUCAUUAA
RNAcentral lists this ribosomal RNA (372 nucleotides) under uncultured eukaryote. Its description in RNAcentral is "partial 18S ribosomal RNA". It matches the Rfam family "Eukaryotic small subunit ribosomal RNA", at positions 592 to 976 of the family's 1831-position model. The record is from RNAcentral.